This is a long non-coding RNA of Gasterosteus aculeatus aculeatus (three-spined stickleback), 1697 nucleotides long. Lineage: Eukaryota; Metazoa; Chordata; Actinopteri; Perciformes; Gasterosteidae. The record is from Ensembl.
GGACCCGGCACUAAUGAGAGGAUGGCUUAAAAUUACACCCAAAUAAUUUUCAAAUUGACAAACAAAUGAAACCCAUAAGUGUACUUUCUCAUUAAUUUCACCAGAGAAUAAUUCAUUGCUACAAUAUCGCGAGCGGACACGGAGAAAAAUUAGAAAUUGGAAAGGGAAGAAAGAAAUUGGAAAAGGGGCGUUAUCCAUCAUAAAUAUCAAGAAGAUAUGAAAACUCCUUAUUAGAGAGAAGUGUCAUCAGCUGGGCGACUGGGUCACGUGACUCGUCCCUACGCACAUUUAUUUACAUUAUAUUUAUUUACUCUCCCUUUGCUCAGAGGGUUUGCUUCGCCUGCUGUUCCAGUGUGCAGGAACGAGCACCUCAUAAAGACCGUCAUUACAAAACACAUGCGUCUCCCACCUGAGCAGACAGGUCAAAGGUCAACAACAGCCCCCCCCUCCUCACGCCCCUCCCCGCCUCACUGGGACCCUAAUGUCAGCGGUGGAGUCAGGGGUGGAGCCAGCGAUGGAGUCUAGGUGGAGUCUAGGUGGAGUCUAGGUGGAGCCAGCGAUGGAGUCUAGGUGGAGUCUAGGUGGAGUGUAGGUGGAGUCAGCGGUGGUGUCUAGGUGGAGUCAGGGUGGAGUCAGGGUGGAGUCAGGGUGGAGUCAGGGUGGAGUCUGUGCUCCGCGCUGUGUUUUUCCUCGGCGGCCACCUGCUCUGAUUCAACGUGUUCUCACAGCCGUGUUCACACAAGCGCACAACAAAAGCCCCGAUGGAGAUAAAGAGACAAAGAGAAGAGGUUCAGCUAAAGAGCUGUUUGGGUUCUGCGCUGGUCGGUAGACUAGACAGCACCCACAAAACAACACGUCCCUUCAAGGUUCCUCUUGUGUUCUGCUGUAUUUUGGCUCCUGGGGCGACAAGACAAACACGAGCUGUUAAAUAAUCAAUCAUUGCAGCCUCGGCAACCAGAUCCUAACAGGGGCCUUCUGCAGGACAGGACCGCCCCAACGUGGACUCCCUCCCCAACGUGGACUCCCGCCCCAACGUGGACUCCCUCCCCAACCGACGGGACUCUCGACCUGCACCCCCCUCGCCCCCCAGAGCGACGCGGCACGGCGGCGAUGACGCUCUGCCAAAGGAGACUUCACAGUCAGACCAAACAAGCACACAAUCUAGUCAGCCACUUCAACCAAGUCACAGAUAAGCACCGCAUAUCUGUACACACACACACACACACACACACACACACACCCACACACACACACAAGCGCCAACGCCUCCGUCGGUAAAGCCCACAUCCUUCCACCGCGGGGGGGGGGGGGGGGGGGCACGGGUCGUUUUUCCCAGCCGGCGUGUCAGCAGACCACUGCACUGAGAAACCACGCAGCUGUUUGGUGAUUGUUGCCAUGGCAACGGUAAACAAGGGGCGAUGAACAAACACCUCAUGCUGGAGCCGUUUUAAUAUUAACACAGUGGAAUAAUCAGCCGAUUUGCUAGGUGACACUCGGGGGAGGCCCAGUGUAAACAAGUUGUGGGAGGGGACGGGGUGUCGGGGGGGCUUUAGGGAACCGAGGUCGAUGCAGAUGCAGCUCGGGGCUAAAAUAAACAGCCAGGCAGAAGAUAAACACAAAGUCGCUCUUCAGACGUUUCUGAAGACGUUCUAAAGCUGCUGUGUUCGCAGAAACAAAAGACAAGGCCCGGCCCCCCC